RNAcentral lists this ribosomal RNA (274 nucleotides) under uncultured bacterium. RNAcentral's name for it is "partial 16S ribosomal RNA". It matches the Rfam family "Bacterial small subunit ribosomal RNA", at positions 523 to 796 of the family's 1533-position model. The record is from RNAcentral.
AUACGGAGGGUCCAAGCGUUAUCCGGAAUCACUGGGCGUAAAGGACGCGUAGGCGGGUUGGCAAGUCAGAUGUGAAAUCCUACAGCUUAACUGUAGAACUGCAUUUGAAACUGCUAACCUUGAGUAUGGGAGGGGGAGAUGGAAUUAGUGGUGUAGGGGUAAAAUCCGUAGAUAUCACUAGGAAUACCGAAAGCGAAGGCGAUCUCCUGGAACAUAACUGACGCUAAGGCGUGAAAGCGUGGGGAGCAAACAGGAUUAGAUACCCUUGUAGUCC